This 107-nucleotide small nuclear RNA is filed under the name Carlito syrichta (Philippine tarsier). The record is from RNAcentral. Lineage: Eukaryota; Metazoa; Chordata; Mammalia; Primates; Tarsiidae.
GUUUUCACUUGGGUAGCACAUAUACUAAAAUUGGAACGAUACAGAGAAGAUUAGCAUGCCCCCUGCCCAAGGAUGACAUGCAAAUUCAUGAAGCGUUCUAUAUUUUU